RNAcentral lists this ribosomal RNA (433 nucleotides) under uncultured bacterium. RNAcentral's name for it is "partial 16S ribosomal RNA". It matches the Rfam family "Bacterial small subunit ribosomal RNA", at positions 29 to 507 of the family's 1533-position model. The record is from RNAcentral.
AGCGAACGCUGGCGGCAGGCCUAACACAUGCAAGUCGAACGAACUCUUCGGAGUUAGCGGCGGACGGGUGAGUAACACGUGGGAACGUGCCUUUUGGUUCGGAAUAACUCAGGGAAACUUGUGCUAAUACCGAAUGUGCCCUUCGGGGGAAAGAUUUAUCGCCAUUAGAGCGGCCCGCGUCUGAUUAGCUAGUUGGUGAGGUAACGGCUCACCAAGGCGACGAUCAGUAGCUGGUCUGAGAGGAUGACCAGCCACACUGGGACUGAGACACGGCCCAGACUCCUACGGGAGGCAGCAGUGGGGAAUCUUGCGCAAUGGGCGAAAGCCUGACGCAGCCAUGCCGCGUGAAUGAUGAGGGUCUUAGGAUUGUAAAAUUCUUUCACCGGGGACGAUAAUGACGGUACCCGGAGAAGAAGCCCCGGCUAACUUCGUG